GGAAUAUAGCUCAGUUGGUAGAGUGUCUACCUUGCAUGCACAAGGCCCUGGGUUCAAUCUCCACAACCA
Molecule: transfer RNA, 69 nt
Filed under: Marmota monax (woodchuck)
Lineage: Eukaryota; Metazoa; Chordata; Mammalia; Rodentia; Sciuridae
Description: tRNA.Ala
Source: RNAcentral